This 467-nucleotide ribosomal RNA is filed under the name uncultured bacterium. RNAcentral describes it as "partial 16S ribosomal RNA". It matches the Rfam family "Bacterial small subunit ribosomal RNA", at positions 28 to 507 of the family's 1533-position model. The record is from RNAcentral.
GACGAACGCUGGCGGCGUGCUUAACACAUGCAAGUCGGACGGAAAGGCCUCUUUCGGGGGGUACUCGAGUGGCGAACGGGUGAGCAACACGUGAGUAACCUGCCCUUGACUUUGGGAUAACUUCAGGAAACUGGGGCUAAUACCGGAUAGGAGCUCCUGCUGCAUGGUGGGGGUUGGAAAGUUUCGGCGGUUGGGGAUGGACUCGCGGCUUAUCAGCUUGUUGGUGGGGUAGUGGCUUACCAAGGCUUUGACGGGUAGCCGGCCUGAGAGGGUGACCGGCCACAUUGGGACUGAGAUACGGCCCAGACUCCUACGGGAGGCAGCAGUGGGGAAUAUUGCACAAUGGGUGGAAGCCUGAUGCAGCAACGCCGUGUGCGGGAUGACGGCCUUCGGGUUGUAAACCGCUUUCGCUCAUGACGAAGCUUUGUGUGACGGUAGUGGGUAAAGAAGCACCGGCUAACUACGUG